UAAUACGUAGGGCGCAAGCGUUGUCCGGAAUUAUUGGGCGUAAAGAGCUCGUAGGCGGCUUGUCGCGUCGGUUGUGAAAGCCCGGGGCUUAACUCCGGGUCUGCAGUCGAUACGGGCAGGCUAGAGUCCGGUAGGGGAGAUCGGAAUUCCUGGUGUAGCGGUGAAAUGCGCAGAUAUCAGGAGGAACACCGGUGGCGAAGGCGGAUCUCUGGGCCGAUACUGACGCUGAGGAGCGAAAGCGUGGGGAGCGAACAGGAUUAGAUACCCUGGUAGUCCACGCCGUAAACGGUGGGCACUAGGUGUGGGCAGCAUUCCACGUUGUCCGUGCCGUAGCUAACGCAUUAAGUGCCCCGCCUGGGGAGUACGGCCGCAAGGCUAAA
This 380-nucleotide ribosomal RNA is filed under the name uncultured bacterium. RNAcentral describes it as "bacterial SSU rRNA". It matches the Rfam family "Bacterial small subunit ribosomal RNA", at positions 521 to 898 of the family's 1533-position model. The record is from RNAcentral.